GUCAGACUCAAUUAUUUUGUAUCAAAACAAUAUCUUAGCUUUUAACUAGCACAACUGCCAAUACUCAGAGUCACAUAUUAUGAAUCACUAUUUGCUCCUUCCUACACUUUCUAAUUUCCUGCUAAGGAGACAGUGCUGAAUGGGGUCAUUAAUCUGAAUUAGAAAUACUGUGACCUGCUCUGCACUUUACUUGCUAACACUGUGUGGCAGAGCGGCAUCUGUGGGGGUUUUGCUUUCUAUAGUGCUCUGAGAAAGAGAAGAGGCAAGGGAAGAUGCUGAACUAGUUUUAAUUUUUAAGCCCUUUAUAAUUCCAGGUGCCAUUUGUGCAUCUCAUACUGCGCCUUCAAAUUCUUGUUAUCAUUUCACUGUUUGUACCGGAGCUGUUGUCAAAUGACAAGCUUUGCUCAGCCUCUGUCUGGAAGUCCAGAGGCUCACCUUAGAAGGCUAAAAUAAUGUGGCCCCCUUAUUAUAAGAAAAGGAAGACGGGUACUUUUCUGGCCUGAUUGACAUAACUUAAUGGAUGUUCACUGGUCAUGCCAUGGAGGGAAGAAUCUGAAUUCACAGGAGCACCUGCAAAGCAGUUAGUUCAUGGAAGCACAGCACAGAGUAAUGAAAAGGUCUACUUCCUACUCCCACACUUAAGAGCCUCAGAACCACAAAGCAUUUUCAGAAUUCAUAAAUGGAAAAGUUCUUUCAAGAACAAAAUGAAGAAUAUUCCUAAUCCAGUGGCUGCCACAUGCAGACUUUGCCUCCUGACCACCCAAGGCAUCAUUUUAGUCAACUACCUCUCCUUCUGGAGCCUAACUUUAGAAAAUGCUUCCCACAUUGUCUCUUUUAGGAGACAAUUUUGAUGCAUGACGUUAGAGGAAACAACUACCUCAACAAGUUUGAAACUCCUAUAAAUUGCUCAGCCCCAACACAUGCUGCUUUUCCAGUAAAAGCCCCUAUUUGACAAAAGCGAAACUCCUUGGCCCCACCUGGUGGUUGCUGAAUCCAGUAAAUUCACCUGUUGCAUUUAAGACCCUGUCAGAAGCUGUACUUUGUCCUUUGACAUCUAUGGGGUUAUAGACAUUGAAUGUCCUUGGAUGAUGAAGUGAGGUCUCAUUCCAAGUGCUUAAGAUAAUGAAACCAUUAUGAGGACAGACGAUGCAACAUCAGAAAUUUUUGCAAUGCUAUUAAUUUCAGGCAGUGUCUUAAUUCGAAGUAGGUUGCAAGAUCAAAUAUAUGAAAAAGAUACUCCAAAUUUAAAACAGGACUUUCAUGCAAUAAGCAUAAAUGCUUCUUCUCUAAGUUAAGAUCUGGGGCACAGUCUGUAAAUUCUAGAUGCACAUUUUCCUCUUUUGAUAUCAAUUUCUGACUAUAGUAAACCAAUAAUUUUGAUUGAACAUAUUGAAUGUAGCAAAUAUUUGUACUUCCCUCUCUUAAACCAUUAAAAUGACAGUAAAGAUAUGCAAAAGGAUAGGAUAUGAAUAGGUGAAACAGUUAGGAAAUUCUCUUUAAAAUGCAUGGUAUAUGGGAUUACACUAACAGAUAAAAUACAACAGAGAAAAAUAUAUUCAGAGUACAAGAGAAGCCGCAAGAGAAGCUGCAGUGAAGGUGGAAUCUGUUACUCUAUGAAGAGACCACUGGCAUUGGGAACCUGAAAGAGAGCAGACACCAAUAAUGCAUCUGGCUAAAGAAUCUGUUGGCUGGCUUUUGGGUGGUGCAUAAUGAAGAAGGUUUAUGUUUCUGACGCCAAUGAGAAAAAUUAAGGGAAACUAGAAAUUCCAGGAAAAAG
RNAcentral lists this long non-coding RNA (1777 nucleotides) under Macaca nemestrina (pig-tailed macaque). Its description in RNAcentral is "lncRNA (ENSMNEG00000046178.1)". The record is from RNAcentral. Lineage: Eukaryota; Metazoa; Chordata; Mammalia; Primates; Cercopithecidae.